This 71-nucleotide transfer RNA is filed under the name Heterocephalus glaber (naked mole-rat). It matches the Rfam family "tRNA". Rfam says of the family: Transfer RNA (tRNA) molecules are approximately 80 nucleotides in length. Their secondary structure includes four short double-helical elements and three loops (D, anti-codon, and T loops). Lineage: Eukaryota; Metazoa; Chordata; Mammalia; Rodentia; Bathyergidae. The record is from Rfam by way of RNAcentral.
UAGGGUGUAGCUUGGUGGUAGAGCUCUUUCUAGUAUGCACAAGGCCUUGGGUUCAAUCCCCAGCACCCUGC